This 253-nucleotide ribosomal RNA is filed under the name uncultured bacterium. Its description in RNAcentral is "partial 16S ribosomal RNA". It matches the Rfam family "Bacterial small subunit ribosomal RNA", at positions 524 to 776 of the family's 1533-position model. The record is from RNAcentral.
UACAGAGGUGGCAAGCGUUGUUCGGAAUUACUGGGCGUAAAGGGCGCGUAGGCGGCUUGGUCAGUCCCGUGUGAAAUCCCUCGGCUCAACUGAGGAACUGCACGGGAAACUGCCUGGCUUGAGUUCGGGAGAGGGAAGCGGAAUUCCGGGUGUAGCGGUGAAAUGCGUAGAUAUCCGGAGGAACACCGAUGGCGAAGGCGGCUUCCUGGACCGACACUGACGCUGAGGCGCGAAAGCUAGGGGAGCAAACGGG